UACGGGGGGGGCAAGCGUUGUUCGGAAUUACUGGGCGUAAAGGGCUCGUAGGCGGCCAAUUAAGUCAGACGUGAAAUCCCUCGGCUCAACCGGGGAACUGCGUCUGAUACUGAUUGGCUUGAGUUCAGGAGAGGGAUGCGGAAUUCCAGGUGUAGCGGUGAAAUGCGUAGAUAUCUGGAGGAACACCGGUGGCGAAGGCGGCAUCCUGGACCGACACUGACGCUGAGGAGCGAAAGCCAGGGGAGCAAACAGG
This 253-nucleotide ribosomal RNA is filed under the name uncultured bacterium. RNAcentral's name for it is "partial 16S ribosomal RNA". It matches the Rfam family "Bacterial small subunit ribosomal RNA", at positions 524 to 776 of the family's 1533-position model. The record is from RNAcentral.